This 468-nucleotide ribosomal RNA is filed under the name uncultured bacterium. Its description in RNAcentral is "partial 16S ribosomal RNA". It matches the Rfam family "Bacterial small subunit ribosomal RNA", at positions 28 to 507 of the family's 1533-position model. The record is from RNAcentral.
GACGAACGCUGGCGGCGUGCUUAACACAUGCAAGUCGAACGGAAAGGCCCUGCUUUCGUGGGGUGCCCGAGUGGCGAACGGGUGAGUAACAUGUGAGUAACCUGCCCUUGACUUUGGGACAACUUCAGGAAACUGGGGCUAAUACCGGAUAGGAGCUCCUGCUGCAUGGUGGGGGUCGGAAAGUUUCGGCGGUUGGGGAUGGACUCGCGGCUUACCAGCUUGUUGGUGGGGUAGUGGCUUACCAAGGCUUUGACGGGUAGCCGGCCUGGGAGGGUGACCGGCCACAUUGGGACUGCGAUACGGCCCAGACUCCUACGGGAGGCAGCGGGGGGGAGUAUUGCACAAUGGGCGGAAGCCUGAUGCGGCAGCGCCGCGUGCGGGAUGACGGCCUUCGGGUUGUAAACCGCUUUCGCCUGUGACGAAGCGUGAGUGACGGUAAUGGGUAAAGAAGCACCGGCUAACUACGUG